UCUCAGGUGUGUGACGAGUGAGGUCACUGGGGGUGUUGUUACGAAUGAGGUGACUGUGGGGGGUGUUGUUACGAGUGAGGUGACUGGGGGGUGUUGUUACGAGUGAGGUGACUGGGGGCUGUUGCUACAAGUGAGGUGACGGGGAGGUUUUGUUACGAGUGAGGUGACGGCGGUGUUGUUACGAGUGAGGUGACGGGGAGGUUUUGUUACGAGUAAGGUGACGAAAGUAACAGGAUAAGUGAGAUCACUACCAAAGAA
Long non-coding RNA from Homarus americanus (American lobster), 258 nucleotides. RefSeq lists it as uncharacterized. The transcript is spliced from 2 exons. The record is from RefSeq and is a predicted model, not a curated record. NCBI's taxonomy places the organism in Eukaryota, Metazoa, Arthropoda, Malacostraca, Decapoda, Nephropidae.